This 396-nucleotide ribosomal RNA is filed under the name Triticum aestivum (bread wheat). RNAcentral's name for it is "partial small subunit ribosomal RNA". Lineage: Eukaryota; Viridiplantae; Streptophyta; Magnoliopsida; Poales; Poaceae. The record is from RNAcentral.
AUGGAGGUUGAGGUGAGGAACACAUGUGCGGAGUGUAGGCUUGCUAUCAAGGGAGGAGGAAACAAAAAAGAGAAAGGAACAAAAGCGAAGGAUCAUGUUCAUGGAUGCUAUCGGCCAAUAUUGGAAGCUCACCCCUUGUAUGGUAGUGGUAAAUUCAUGUUUCUUUUGAUGAAUAUAUAUAUGUGGGAUGGGGUGGCUUUUUGUUACUAUUUUGCAUUCGGUGGCUUUCGAUACUCUAUGUUGAUACUUUUCGUUGAAUUUGAAAUGAUGUUCAAAUUUGUGUAUUCAAAAGUCAUACUAAGUCAGCGACAAUCUAAUAUGAAUAAGAGGGAGUUGCGUCAUCGAGAAGUUCAAACUGUGCAGUGUUUGCAAGGAGAAAUAGAAACAAAAGUUUGA